CCCCCACUUAUAAGCACAUUGUCUGACCAUCUCCUAUCCGAUGUGGGACUCUUAACAAGGUAUUGUGAAUUAAAACAUAUUUAUUUAAGUUUGACAUAAUAUCAAUUCAAUGAGUACAUUUCAUUAUAUAGAAUCACCCAUACACAUUAUUUAUUUGUUUAUUUACUACUGUUGCAAAUCUCCAAGCUUGAAUCACUUUCUGUAUGAAUUGCACGAGCACCUACAAAAGAAAAAACAUAUUUGUAUUUGCAAAAAAAAAGACAAUAAUAGAUGAAGAGAAAGUAAAUCUAGACACAAUUGUUGAUGGUGUAAGAUCAUAGUAAUGUUUUCUCGUUCUUACCGGCGCCUAGCAGUUUUUAUUCUCACAGUCUAUCACGCAUGCUUCAUAGUCGUGUAUUAUGUGUGGAAGACAUGACAUGGUACACUUUAUUUCACAAGAUGUUCUUGGCCAUCCUUUGAGUUUAGUUGGCUCAAAUUCUUGAGAUGGAGAGUUGCAUUCAACAUGUGUUACAAUUAACAUAAUCAUUAACAUCAUUACAGCACAUUUUCUUAUCAUGCUUACUUCCAUGACUCUUUUUGAUGAAGUAAAUUUUAACAAUCUCUAUUAUAAU
RNAcentral lists this long non-coding RNA (611 nucleotides) under Medicago truncatula (barrel medic). RNAcentral describes it as "long non-coding RNA (MTRU_LNC008202)". Lineage: Eukaryota; Viridiplantae; Streptophyta; Magnoliopsida; Fabales; Fabaceae. The record is from RNAcentral.